Molecule: RNA transcript, 2319 nt
Organism: Xenia sp. Carnegie-2017
Lineage: Eukaryota; Metazoa; Cnidaria; Anthozoa; Malacalcyonacea; Xeniidae
Gene name: eukaryotic translation initiation factor 2 subunit 1-like
Exons: 8
Source: RefSeq, a predicted model, not a curated record
UUACUCGGUUCUUUAUUACAUGGCAAUGUUCAGUCGUCCAUAGAUCCAACACCGAAGGAAUAUGCAAUGUACGUGUCGUUUCUUGGUGAGAUUUGGGUGAGAGCAUUAAGACUUUUGGUUCUUCCUUUGAUUGUAUCAAGCUUGCUUUUGGCAGUCGCUGAAUUGGAGUCAAAACAGAGCGGAAAAUUGUGAAGAAGAACAUUGCUGUAUUAUCUUAUGACUACAAUGUUUGGGGAGUAAUUUGUUUAUUUGCAUUUAACCUGGAAAUGCUAACGUGAAAGAACCAGAACCGAACGAAGAAAAAGUUGAAGCAAUACAUUCUGUGCUUGAUCUUACAAGAUAAAUCCCAUUUCACCACCUACCUAUGUUGUCAUGACAACAACAAUGAAUUGAGAAGAAGGUUUAAAAGCUUUGGAAACAUCUAUCUAAGCCAUUGAAGAAGUCAUUAUGAAUAAGAAAGGAACAUUUGUUUUACAACAAGCUGAAGCACGGCAAAUCUUUGCCUCGUGAUCAAUGGUAAUUAUCGGAAUUAGCGGGAAAAACUACGUCAGAGGUCUGGUACCGACACAGAGACGCGAUUCUUGUCAUUUCUUUAUGGAUAGUACGCCGUCGAUUGAAGCUCCUCAGUUCGUAGAUAUAUAAAAAUUGCCAAAUACCAGCUGUUAUCCUUCUGUAAAAAAUGCCUCCUUGUUUAUCAAAAUCAAUAAUGAGAGACGUCUACUGCACUAUGCUCGAAAAAAGACCUGAGCGAAGUCCUUUCGUUAGAACUGAUAUGUACGAUAUUGUGAGCUUGCUUCACAUGUCGAAUGAGUUGGUUGAAAAGAGAUCAUGAAGGAAUAUGCAAUGUACGUGUCCUUUCUUGGUGAGAUUUGGGUGAGGGCUUUAAGACUUUUGGUUCUUCCUUUGAUUGUAUCCUGCCUGCUUUUGGCAGUCGCUGAAUUGGAGUCAAAACGGAGCGGAAAAUUGGGAAGAAGAACAUUGCUGUAUUAUCUUAUGACUACAAUGUUUGGGGAGUAAUUUGUUUAUUUGCAUUUAACCUGGAAAUGUUAACGUGAAAGAACCAGAACCGAACGAAGAAAAAGUUGAACCAAUACAUUCUGUGCUUGAUCUUACAAGAUAAAUCCCAUUUCACCACCUACCUAUGUUGUCACGACAACAACAAUGAAUCAAGAAGAAGGUUUGAAAGCUUUGGAAACAUCUAUCAAAGCCAUUGAAGAAGUCAUUAUGAACAAGAAAGGAACAUUUGUUUUACAACAAGCUAGCUGCAAAAUUUCGACAAUGACUUCACGAAAGCGUUGCUACAAUGGAUUAAAACAUGCCAAACAACAUAUGAUAUUAUUUUUCAUUUUAUUCGGCGUACUUUGUGGAUUUUUACUUGGUUCUUUAUUACAUGGCACUGUUCAGUCGUCCAUAGAUCCAACACCGAAGGAAUAUGCAAUGUAUGUGUCGUUUCUUGGUGAGAUUUGGGUGAGAGCAUUAAGACUUUUGGUUCUUCCUUUGAUUGUAUCCAGCUUGCUUUUGGCAGUCGCUGAAUUGGAGUCAAAACGGAGCGGAAAAUUGUGAAGAAGAACAUUGCUGUAUUGUCUUAUGACUACAAUGUUUGGGGAGUAAUUUGUUUAUUUGCAUUUAACCUGGAAAUGUUAUCGUGAAAGAACCAGAACCGAACGAAGAAAAAGUUGAACCAAUACAUUCUGUGCUUGACGUAAUAAGAUAAAUCCCAUUUCACCACCUACCUAUGUUGUCAUGACCAUAACAAUGAAUCAAGAAGGUUUGAAAGCUUUGGAAACAUCUAUCAAAGCCAUUGAAGAAGUCAUUCUGAACAAGAAAGGAACAUUUGUUUUACAACAAGCUCCAAAGGUUGUCACAGAUAUGGAUGAAGCAGACUUUGCAAAGGAACUGGAAAAACUUGAAUGUCAAAAUGCAGAAGUUGAUGGUGAUGACGAUAAUCCUGAUGAUGAAGAAAAACAAGAUGAAGCAUAAAUGAUUGUGGUUUGUUUUAAAACUUGCUGUGUUUUAUUUUUAUCAUACACUACCUGCAGUUGCCUUGAACAAUAAUUUGUUUAACUUCAAACUCCAUUCAAACCCUAUACAUUACAAACACAAUUAUUUUCUAUUGACGAUCCGAAAUAGAUAUUUCAUUGUCAGUAUUUCGCGAGGCAGUUUUUGAAGGUCCCCUGUUCGGGUUAAACUGCAGCUCUGAAUUUGUAGUUUGUGAUGAAUAGGACAUUUGUCAUCGUGAAACUAUUGUAAAUGCCAAGUCGUUGAAAUGAAAGCAUAUUUAGAAAAGAGAUUAUUAAAUUAAAUAUUGCUAACAAUUUC